GAUGAACGCUGGCGGCGUGCCUAAUACAUGCAAGUCGAGCGAACGGACGAGAAGCUUGCUUCUCUGAUGUUAGCGGCGGACGGGUGAGUAACACGUGGAUAACCUACCUAUAAGACUGGGAUAACUUCGGGAAACCGGAGCUAAUACCGGAUAAUAUUUUGAACCGCAUGGUUCAAAAGUGAAAGACGGUCUUGCUGUCACUUAUAGAUGGAUCCGCGCUGCAUUAGCUAGUUGGUAAGGUAACGGCUUACCAAGGCAACGAUGCAUAGCCGACCUGAGAGGGGGAUCGGCCACACUGGAACUGAGACACGGUCCAGACUCCUACGGGAGGCAGCAGUAGGGAAUCGUACGCAAUGGGCGAAAGCCUGACGGAGCAACGCCGAGUGAGUGAUGAAGGUCUUCGGAUCGUAAAACUCUGUUAUUAGGGAAGAACAUAUGUGUAAGUAACUGUGCACAUCUUGACGGUACCUAAUCAGAAAGCCACGGCUAACUACGUG
RNAcentral lists this ribosomal RNA (497 nucleotides) under uncultured bacterium. RNAcentral describes it as "partial 16S ribosomal RNA". It matches the Rfam family "Bacterial small subunit ribosomal RNA", at positions 28 to 507 of the family's 1533-position model. The record is from RNAcentral.